Molecule: small nuclear RNA, 107 nt
Organism: Lutra lutra (Eurasian river otter)
Lineage: Eukaryota; Metazoa; Chordata; Mammalia; Carnivora; Mustelidae
Source: RefSeq, a predicted model, not a curated record
GUGCUCACUUUAGCAGCACAUACACUAAAAUUGGAAUGUUACAGAAAAGAUUAGCAUGGCCCCUUUACAAGCAUGACAUACAAAUAUGUGAAAUGUUCCAUAUUUUU